UAUAUUGGACAAUGGGGGCAACCCUGAACUAGCCAUGCCGCGUGUGUGAAGAAGUUCUCUGGAUUGUAAAGCACUUUAAGUUGGGAGGAAGGGCUUUAGGCUAAUACCCUGAAGUUUUGACGUUACCAACAGAAUAAGCACCGGCUAACUCUGUGCCAGCAGCCGCGGUAAUACAGAGGGUGCAAGCGUUAAUCGGAAUUACUGGGCGUAAAGCGCGCGUAGGUGGUUCAGUAAGAUGGGUGUGAGAUCACCGGGCUUAACCUGGGAACUGCUUUCAUAACUGCUGAGCUAGAGUACGGUAGAGGGUAGUGGAAUUUGCUGUGUAGCGGUGAAAUGCGUAGAUAUAGGAAGGAACACCAGUGGCGAAGGCGACUACCUGGACUGAUACUGACACUGGGGUGCGAAAGCGUGGGGAGCAAAC
Molecule: ribosomal RNA, 421 nt
Filed under: uncultured bacterium
Lineage: Bacteria
Description: partial 16S ribosomal RNA
Rfam family: Bacterial small subunit ribosomal RNA
Source: RNAcentral